Molecule: small RNA, 278 nt
Filed under: Pongo abelii (Sumatran orangutan)
Lineage: Eukaryota; Metazoa; Chordata; Mammalia; Primates; Hominidae
Source: RNAcentral
GCUGGGCGUGGUGGCGUGUGCCUGUAAUCCCAGCUACUAGGGAGGCUGAGGCACGAACAUCGCUUGAACCCAAGAGGCAGAGGUUGCAGUGACCCAAGAUCGCGCCACUGCACUCAAGUCUGGUGACAGAGUGAGACUCCAUCUCAAAAAAAAAAAAAAAAAAAAAUUGAAUCCUUUUUUUUGAGAUGUAGUCUCACUCUCCCAGGCUGGAGUGCAGUGGCACAAUCUCAGCUCACUGCAAACUCUGCAUCCCAGGUUCAAAUGAUUCUCCUGCCUCA